UGUAAGGAAUGUCAGAAAAAUAAAUUCCCGCGCAAGUGAUACACAAUCUAAUAUAUUAAAUUUGGUUGGGUCGACUCAUGUUUUUUUAUGGACGCUCUUCUCGGUUAUUUAAGUCGUUGCUCACGACUUCAUGUUCGCUAAACUUCACUCGCUCAGAUUUCAGAGCACCUAGUGUGACAAGAUUUAAUUCUCGAAGCUGGUCUGAAAAUUAACAAAGGCCUACACAUGGGUAACGACGAAAAGAAGAAGGGACUUGAUGUAAAAGAAGUUCAUCUAAGACUCCUGGAUGAUCUUGUCAACGUGAAUUCACUACUGACUGUGGCUGUAUUUGUGGGCUUAUCCUUGGCUACGCCAGACAUUAAAAGCCUCGAUUCGAGACACGAGUGUCGCGCAGGUCCUAGAGAAGCCAAAAAGCUGAUUCUCUGUGAAGUUGUAGCAUUUUCUUGCUUCAUCUUGUCAAGCAUUGUUGCCAAGGUACUUAAGCUUCAUCUCUACCUUGAUGGAAAUGGUAAUUAUGCCUUCACGAGUCCUGAUUUAGAUUUGAAGGACUUCAUGUUAGCGUUAUCUGCGUGCGGCUCAGUUGCUGGGAUUGUUUCGGUGUCUGUUUCGAUUGUGUACAUAAUUGAAAUUCGAGUCGGGUUGCUAUCAUGCGGGUGCGAAGAAUCCACUGCUGCCGUGGUGGUUCUUGGCGUCCUUGUUGGGUUUGCUUUGCUCAUUUAUGUUGUUUCGGUGGCUAUAGCUAUUUAUGCUUCUUAUAAAAGUGAUCAUCAUAAGUCCGAAAGUGGAGAAAAUAAAAACGGCCUUAAGUACCCAAGUACAUGAGGCCUGACUCCUGAGGCUGUAGAAUCAAUGGUCUAAAAGUUAAGAUGUAUGUAUUUCAUGUACACAUAAUUAAGUGUGCUUCAACGACUUGACGAAGCAAGUUUAGCUAAUGAAAUUUUUAACUGAGCAAUUUCAUA
Molecule: long non-coding RNA, 959 nt
Organism: Daucus carota subsp. sativus
Lineage: Eukaryota; Viridiplantae; Streptophyta; Magnoliopsida; Apiales; Apiaceae
Exons: 2
Source: RefSeq, a predicted model, not a curated record